Long non-coding RNA from Halichondria panicea, 6584 nucleotides. RefSeq lists it as uncharacterized. NCBI's taxonomy places the organism in Eukaryota, Metazoa, Porifera, Demospongiae, Suberitida, Halichondriidae. The transcript is spliced from 2 exons. The record is from RefSeq and is a predicted model, not a curated record.
UUAUAUAAUUAUGCUGUACUGGGUUGUCAAAUACUAACAAUUAAGUGGGUUGUACAUUUCUCGGUAUUAUUGAACACCUUGCUAACCUACAGUAUGCCUUGAUUCCUUGAUAAGAGGUAUAGGGCCUGCACUGGUCUCUGUUUUGCAUCGUUAUUAUAGUAACUUGUUAGUGUAUAACAAUUAAAACAUGAGUGUAUAUACGGAAACCCAUGUGGUGGUAGCUAUAAUAAUUAUUAAUUAUAUAAAGAGGAUGAACGUUCUGAUGAUCAAAGAGUUAUUCAAGUGUAUCUAGCCUGUAUACAUGCAUGUAAUUAUUAUAGUAGCAAUCAAACUUUUUUUGGCGCUCGCUCUCAGCACCCUCCUUACUAGCUGCAUUUCCUAGAAACACCACUGUGCUCAGAGAGGUAUAAUUAUGGUAUAGUCUGUGUUUGUAUAAUUAUAUAGACUGCUACAGCUGCUCAAGGAUCAAUGAAGUGCAAACAAGAGUUUCUAUAAUAAUUUAUAUUAGCCUCGAUCCCAGGCCAAUCCUUCUCCAAUUGAACACUAGGUCGCCUCCUCGGCCUGGUAUUGAUUGUAUCUGGGCGUGUAUCUGGGCAUGCAUGUGCUGUGGUUGCUGUGGUUGCUCAGGUAUUCGCUCAAAAAGAGCGAAUACCUGAGCAAGGUGGAGCGAAUAGAAACACUAAUAGUGUAUGUAAGCAUACUUACUCCGUAAAUCACCGUUAAAUCACAAAGAACUCCGUGUCAUAGGUAUAUUCUUUAGCAAGUUUAGUUUGUCAUAGAUAUAGGCUUAGCUAGAGUGUGAGGAGCUGUCUUGUGCGAAGGAAGAAGGAUCAUCACUCUUGUGAAAGAACAGACCUAUGUUCUCAAUUUUCUGCUAUCAGUUGGCUACCUUUGAUUGACUCGACUACACAAUUUAAUACAAGCGCUUGAUUAGACCAUUGAUUGCCAGAUACACUUGGUAGAGUCUAUCCUCAGACUCCGGCCAUCGAUCUCUUGUAUACUAUGCUCAGGGGUGUCUACAAGUGGCUGGGCCUGGGAUGUAUUGUCAAAGUGAGCGAUAUAAAUCAAUAAUACCAUUUCAUCAUUGGAAAUUGUACACUAUAGCCUAUAGCCCAAUCCUUGGUAUCUGGAUCAAGAUAUGACAUUACGGUACUGGCACUGGUGUUGUGUUAGCCUCCUUCACCGGCCUUCAAGGAAGUGCGGCCUGGGAUCGAGGCUAGUUUUGUGUGGACCAUCACUUAUACAGGAGCAAAAUGGAACCUUCCCCUCCAACCCCCGUUGUACUCUUCCUAGCUGAUGGGUGCGAACUCAUUGAAAGAGGAUGCCCCAGUGCCACUCGUGUCCUUCCCAAGGGGGCCGAUCUUAUAGAACUACCUGCACUAAAACUACUGACGUGGAAUGGCUCUUUCAACACUUGUGGUUGCUAUCCUGACCAGUGACGUCAGGAUUCUACUGUCUCUUGAUGCACUGUGAACACACAAUCUUUGUUAUGCCACCUGAAGGCUUAGCAGGCAUAUCCAACGCAGUAUUUAUUAAGUCUUUCUGGAAGCUCUUGUUUGAGAUCUUCGCUUCUAAACAUCUGCAUUUAUUAUGAACGCAGUACUGCUGUGCAGUACACUCUACAGAUAACAGUAUUAAUUUCUAGUGUCAUUAUAUCACUGUAUUUUUAGCCAACUGUGAUGAACUAAAGAUGUUACAGUACAUAGCAUUCCUCUUGAUACUUACCAGUUUCCGGUCACGCCCAGAUACAAUCAAUACCAGGCCGAGGAGGCGACCUAGCGUUCAAUUGGAGACGGAUGGGCCUGGGAUCGAGGCUAAUAAUAUAUAGGCUUCUAUAGUAGCGUUUUUUUUAUUGCAAUUUUGCGGAUUUGCAGUUAUAGAUAGGUUUAUUUACUUGGAAUGCCAUCGCAGCUUUUCAGAAGAGAGAGUAGCAAAACUCGUCCAUGGAGUGUUGCUCUCUACUUAGUAGAUAAUUUUAUAGCUCUGCACUAUAAUUAUAAUGCUAGCUGGCUUUAUUGCAUGUAACUAUACUACCUAGCUUUUUGUAUUUAUUGUACCUGUUGUUUUGAUGUAUCAAAUGGGUUCGCGUAUAUUAAGGUAGUUAGUUGACUGUUCAUAGCAGCUAGCUAUAGCUCUACGCAGGCCGGUCUAUUAUGGGACUUAUACACUGUAAAAACUAAUGGGUUAAAGGGACUCGCGGUUGCGGGUCAUUUGAAUGUCUCACCAAAUGACCCACACCACUCAUGGGUUGUUUUGCCAAUGUGUUAAAUUAACCAAUGGGUUACCAUAUUGAUUGAUUUAAAAGUAACAAUAAAGUGAGUCAUAAUUACCCAUAGGUAUGAUUGUUUUGACCUUUGAAAAUUUGUUAAUACAUAAUCAACAGCACACAAUCAGCAUUAGCAUUUAGUGCACAUAGUAAAUCAAUUAUACAACGUUGGAAUGUCACCAGCAAUUGUUCAAGUAAUUGUUCUCCUUGGAAUUCUCUCCAAUGCCCAGCAAACCGGGACAUUCCUCCUAGAGAUGUGGAAUUAGCAGUUAUUUUUACAACAACUAUAGCACUUUGCAUACUUACUUCGUAACUGCAAGCAAUCCAGAGGAUGUCUCCAGAAGGUUUCUAUACAAUAAAACAAUAGCUUUUUGAAGGUAAAUCACUUUUAAUUUAAUAUACUCACUUUCAGAUCUAGUCACUUAUUAUUGCUCUCUUCUGUCAACCCCCUACAAAAAUAACAUUUAACAUCUUUGAAUCAAUUCAUGAGCAUAGGAUCACCUGGUUUUUAGAGUACGAUGAGGUCGAGGGUUGCCGAGUCUUCCUUUAAAAGUUUUUAUCUCAGCAGCACUCAACCUGUCUUUGGUUGGUUUCCUUAGCAUUCAGUACCGUAGUAAAGGUCUAUCUGUGUAGAGUAGUGUAGUUGUUAAGUAGUGCUCCGCAUACUGUUCUAGUAAAUUCUGUAUCUUACCUCUUAAAAAAAGUGUCUUCAACUCUUCUUUGUGCAUCUGACAUGUUUGUAUAAGUGCCUCUAAAUGCAUGAUUAUAAAUAAUUAUAGAUAAUAAUAUUUAUUUAUAGACUGGGGAAUUAUUUUAGGGUGGGUAAUUUAGACUCACAAUACUGAGUAAUAAUUAUGAACUCACUGAGAAGGUUAAUAUGACUCUUGUAUACUGGGUUUAACUUACCCAUAUUCAGUUAACAUACGGGUUAUUUCGUUUAAAGUGGGUCAAAAUCGACAUAACCAUCCAUUGGAUCACCAUUUAACCCACUUUUGUGGAUAUGACCCGUGUGUGACCCACUGCUCAUGAGUUUAAAUGACCCACUAGUAUGUUACAAUGACCCACUAGUUUUUACAGUGUACCCUGGCUGAGAAUGCAUGGGAUUUCCCUAUAGUCUUACUGCACAACGUGUGACCGGAAGUGGGCGUAACUCCCAAAAAUGUUUGUACUGCGCGCUCGUUAAUUUGAAAUCCCCCUUUUCUUUUUCCUGGAUCUGCUACUAAGACAAGUUCAGUCGGUAGAGCAUCAGACUCUUAAUCUGAGGAUCAUGGGUUUGAGCCCCACAUUGGAUGAAUUUUUGUUCGCUGGUAUUGCCCAUUCUAUAAUUAUGUGCAUGUGCUGAACACCACGGGUGAUAAUGCAGCGCCAACGCCAAUGAAGCUAUACUGUACUAGCAGCCUAUUAUACACACAUGUAUACAGUUACAACAAGUGUUGCAAGCGUGCACUUGCUAAUGCCUCUCGCCAUGUUUUUGCUUUCGCUCAAAAGUAUUACUAGAGUGUUAUAGAAGAGAUAAGUAAUUUGCAAUGUGUUUUGAUUGUUUCACAAGAAAGUGCAUACUGAUCGUCUUAAAUUGCCUGCAGCCAAACAAUGGGAGAAAACCUUUGUCAAAGGCAUAGUCAGUAGUCUGUGAAAGACAGAAAUCAAUCACAGAAAGUAAUAAUAAUUAUUAUCUAUAACAAGCAGUCUAAAAAGAGUUAUCAGAAAAGGUUGGUUUGUGGCUUACCAGGACCUCAACAAAAAAGAAAUUGAUUCUGCCAGGAUCUGGCGUUCAAAAUGGAUUCUCUUACACGUGGUAUUGAGCGCAUGCACAUUACAUCCAGGAAGAAGGGGUGUGUCUGCAAGUUCCAUAAUGAUCACUAAAAAUAAUAGCUAGCUUCUUUAGCAGCUCUUUCUUACUCUUGUAUAGCUAACAAAAAGCUAGCGCUUUAGUGCAAGGCUAACUCGAAUAGAAAGUUUGUGCAAACAGAUGAUGCUAUGAAAGAUUCCUGAAGAGACUGCAACAGCCUUCAAUGUGAGUCAAACUAGCCAUAACUCGAGAAUGUUUGCUAAUCCACGAAUCAAAAUCCAUGAGAAUGUGACUAGAAGCCUAUUGUUUUUGUUGCAUUACAAGUAACCGUUAAGCAGUUGCAGCUGGAACAGACACACACACAGUCAGCUUUACCGUAUCCCUCGUGCGGCUACGCCUCGAGGCAUAAUUAUACACAUGCUGUGAAAAAAUAGUUGAGAAAUGAUUAAUUGUUGCUAAAAAGGAUGCUGAAAGUUUGAUGUCUAUAAUUAUAAUUAUUAAUGUCACUCAGCAAAUUCAAUAAUGACUCUUGCAGCUAUAAUUAUAUCUUGCAGCUAUAUCGAACGCUAUAGCGUUCUAAUGCAGAGCUAUAUAAUAAGAAGAUGUAAUUAUACUCAACGAAUUUUGCUACGCUAGAGUCUGCAGUCUGCAAUAAAAUUCAGUGAAUUUUAGGCGUGACAAAUCAGAGAAAAGCAGAACAGAAGAACGGCGUAGAUCAUUCAUAGCCCUCAAUGUAUUACUAAGCAAAACUAGUCGAAGCAUUAUUAAUUUUUGUAAAUCCACUGAAUAUGACUUAGUCUGUCUAGAAGCCUCUUAUUCUUAUACACUUAUUGAGCAGUUGUAUAUCACUCUACACAGACACACGCACAAACACACUACUGUAUACCUCGCUGCGUAUCCACACCUGAGGCAUAUAAUUAUAGCGUAGUAUUCGUUGUACUGAGUUAUGAUGCCUCUGUGUGCUUGCACAGCGAGGUAUAAUUAUACGCUGAUGUGUGAGUGUGUGUGUGUGUGUGUGUGUGUGUGUGUGAAAGGAAAACACAAAGUCCAAGGAAGUUAUCACACAUGCAAGCUAAUUUUGCAAGUUACCUUGCCUUGGUUUUUUAAAACGAAGUACCUGAUAGCUAUAUACUCUGUUACUAUAGGAGUAUAUGUCCUACCAUAUCCUUUGGGAAGUUUCUGCUACAUCUGACAUCGACAAGCAUUGAAUAGAGUCAGAGUUCACUUCUUCAUGUUCAUUCUCUUGUCAUGCUUUAAUCAUAAUUAUUAUUCAUGCAUUAGUUUAUAACAUUGUUGUCAAUAAAAUGUUCAUACUAUGUAUUAAAAUUAAAAUACAAUAAGAUUUGUCAUAGAGCGAAGUGUAAACCUCGAUUUGAGGCCGCGGGUGGGCGUAUAUUCGAAUGAAAACUCGCCGUUCGCGAUUAAACGCCCAGUUAGGACUCUAAUAAGCCUAGACUUCCUGCUGGGCGUAUUUUCUCGAGGAUACGGUAUAGCCUCCUUCACUGGCCUCCCCUGAAGACAAAAAAAAAACGAAACUGCAUGCCUUCAAUGUGAGUUUUUUUAUGUAGACUAGCCAGAGCAAAGCUUUAACGUUGCUUGAGGAGGCUUGUAGAAACUCUUGGUUUCAGAGUCUUCUUUAAAUGUGUUAAUAAUUAUAGCCUAGCUUGCUUAAUGCUUAGCACUAUUCUAAAUCAGUUAUAUGCCCUUAGUAUAACACCCUUGCUAUAAUAUGCUUGGGAUGCUACAGCCUCAGGCCUUCGGAUCUCAAAACCAGAGACCUUGGACUCAGCCAAUAUUUAUGACGUUGUAACGGAUUGGAGUUGCACUCGACGAAUUUCUUGUUUCUACGCUUUUCAUGCUUUUCCUGCCAAUCAUACGUUCACAAUGUUUCACAGAGCAAAAUUAGUUUUUUAGUUCGAUUCCCUUUCUUUCUUCAGUGCAGAAGUAUUAUACGUUUCGAAAAUGUGAAAAAAUGCCUAAGAGGAAUGUCAAGAAACAGAGAAAAGAAGACAGGACUGGAAUAAACACCCAUUAUAAUUAUGAUAAAAUAACAGCCAUGCAUGUUUACUGCAUGUGUAUAGAUGUACUUUGAAGAGCAUUGUUCAGGCCUUCAUACAGAAAAAAAUUGACAGGGGGGAGAAAAUCAACAUUUCAAAAAUGGGAGGCUCGGCGAUUAUCCGUAUCUUGGGGGAUCUGCGAAAUUGUUGUGUUUAGAGACUGUCGUACAUCGCAUCUUAAUUCAUUCUUAAGAGUUAUUAAGUAUUGUGGAAUGUCAUAAAAAAUGCAGAAAUCCAAUUGCCUAGGUUGAAUGGCACUAUAGAUAAAAGCCAUAGCCUGAGCGACACAAGCCUUUCUCACUAAAUGAAGGUCGCUGAAUCGCCCUCUGUACUUAUACAGAUAUAGUGACUUCGAAGAAGAAAUUGUGGAUGUAUGGAACAGAAAGAGUAUUAUAUAUAGAAGAAUAGCAGUUUAAUUAAAGUAGCUUCGUAGAGAACUCAUUAUUGUUGUUAUAAAACACUCUUUGUUUGG